UUUUGACGAUGAUGGCGCUCUAGGCAAGCAGCUCUGAUAUCAUGAUAAAAAGAAUAGAAGAUAAGAAGCUUUAUUGAAGUAACUUUAACUUGAAUGCAUGGGAGGAUUUUCCUCAAUAGAAUAGAGGAUUUUCCUCAACAGAAUAGAUAGGAAAUCUUAUUUUCUAUCAAUUCUGAGCAUUAAGUUUUGCACUGUGAUUGUCGUACUUAUAUCAGUCUACUUUUCGGUGGCAGAUCUAAUGGCUCUGCGAGCCGUAGAGGAAAGAGAGAUGCAAGAGAUGCCCUGUGAUGAUUGUUACUAUGACACAGCUUCACUUGUGGUCAAUUAUAGCCAUCGUGAUGCCAGGAGGAGCUCUGAUGUCUCUACAAUCCGAGAGUCAAUUAUCUUUUCACACAAUGAUUGAGGAAAACAUCUCUGGUUCAGGUGCCCCUUGUAUUGGUUCACCCUAAGGUUCUUCUCCAACACCUGCGAAGCUCAUAUACUUUAUCUUUGAGAAAGCCGUAGAUACUAGAAAGCAACUGCAAGUGCACCCACCUCUUUUACAUUUAUGCUUUAAUUAUAAAGUUAGUGAAAUCAGCUUUAGGCUGAUAGACUUUUGACAGACAAUUUUGAUCAGUGUUACAUGAGCCUUUGCAGAAUUCUAAAUGAUUUUGCAGGUAUUGCAAAUUGAUAGGAAUAAUCUUGUCCCAUACCGGUUCAUCU
This 702-nucleotide long non-coding RNA is filed under the name Musa acuminata (dwarf banana). Its description in RNAcentral is "long non-coding RNA (MACU_LNC006729)". The record is from RNAcentral. Lineage: Eukaryota; Viridiplantae; Streptophyta; Magnoliopsida; Zingiberales; Musaceae.